GGGGGCGUAUUGCUUUGACAGCCCUUAAGUCGCAAUAAGCAGGUGGAGUUCCAAAAUCUCCUAAAACUUCUGGAAAACUUUAAGUGCCAACAUUUUUCAAGUUGAGCAACCGGCUUACGCCAUUGCUUAAGCACUUUCCCGCCUAAGGCGGGAACAUCCUCCUUGCUGAUGCCCAAUAAGCAAACGAGGGUGUUAUAAUAUUGGGCUAGGCAACCAGAGGCCUUGGCUGGCGGCUGAAACAAAAGGGCUCGGGUAAUUGUUUAUUUUGUCCGCUUCAAAAGCAUUUGCCUUAAAAAAAUAAACGGUCUAAACCUGUAGAGUUGUUGAGGCGCUAAUCGCUGCACGAGGGUUCAAUCCCUCCGUCUCCACCA
RNAcentral lists this transfer-messenger RNA (371 nucleotides) under Parcubacteria group bacterium CG1_02_41_26. It matches the Rfam family "transfer-messenger RNA". From Rfam's summary of the family: Bacterial tmRNA, also known as 10Sa RNA or SsrA, is named for its dual tRNA and mRNA-like properties. The record is from RNAcentral. RNAcentral also lists the same sequence under 5 other names.